GACGAACGCUGGCGGCGCGCCUAACACAUGCAAGUCGAGCGGUGAACCGGGCUUCGGCCCGGGGAUCAGCGGCGAACGGGUGCGUAACACGUGGGCAACCUGCCCCUCACUCUGGGAUAACCCCGGGAAACCGGAGCUAAUACCGGAUACUCCGGCCGGAUCGCAUGGUCUGGCCGGGAAAGGUCCGCCGGUGAGGGAUGGGCCCGCGGCCUAUCAGCUUGUUGGUGGGGUAACGGCCCACCAAGGCGACGACGGGUAGCUGGUCUGAGAGGACGACCAGCCACACUGGGACUGAGAUACGGCCCAGACUCCUACGGGAGGCAGCAGUGGGGAAUCUUGCGCAAUGGGCGAAAGCCUGACGCAGCGACGCCGCGUGGGGGACGAAGGCCCUCGGGCUGUAAACCCCUUUCGGCGGGGACGAAGCGAACGUGACGGUACCCGCAGAAGAAGCCCCGGCUAACUACGUGCCAGCCGCCGCCGUAACAC
This 486-nucleotide ribosomal RNA is filed under the name uncultured bacterium. Its description in RNAcentral is "bacterial SSU rRNA". It matches the Rfam family "Bacterial small subunit ribosomal RNA", at positions 28 to 526 of the family's 1533-position model. The record is from RNAcentral.